Molecule: long non-coding RNA, 397 nt
Filed under: Carica papaya (papaya)
Lineage: Eukaryota; Viridiplantae; Streptophyta; Magnoliopsida; Brassicales; Caricaceae
Description: long non-coding RNA (CPAP_LNC011770)
Source: RNAcentral
UGAGUCCUUCUCCAAGAAUCUCAAGCUUGGUAUCCAUGAGGACUCCCAGAAUAAGUCAAAGCUUGCAGAAUUGCUCAGAUACCACUCCACCAAGAGUGGUGAUGAGAUGACCAGCUUGAAGGACUAUGUGACCAGAAUGAAGGAGGGACAGAGCGAUAUCUAUUACAUCACUGGUGAGAGCAAGAAGGCUGUGGAGAACUCUCCAUUCCUGGAGAAGCUGAAGAAGAAGGGCUAUGAAGUUCUGUUCAUGGUUGAUGCCAUUGACGAGUAUGCAGUUGGACAAUUGAAGGAAUUUGAGGGUAAGAAGCUAGUAUCAGCAACCAAGGAAGGCUUGAAGCUUGACGAGAGCGAAGAUGAGAAGAAGAAGAAGGAAGCUUUGAAGGAGAAGUUUGAGGGU